RNAcentral lists this ribosomal RNA (477 nucleotides) under uncultured bacterium. RNAcentral describes it as "bacterial SSU rRNA". It matches the Rfam family "Bacterial small subunit ribosomal RNA", at positions 29 to 506 of the family's 1533-position model. The record is from RNAcentral.
AUGAACGUUGGCGGCGUGCCUAACACAUGCAAGUCGAGCGUGAAAGUCCUUCGGGAUGAGUAAAGCGGCGGACGGGUGAGUAACGCGUGAGAAUCUUCCCUUCAAUGAGGAAUACCUUUGAGAAAUCGAAGUUAAUACUGCAUACGUCUCGAAAGAGAGAAAGAUGGCCUAAUUGCUGUCGUUGAAGGAUGAGCUUGCGUUCUAUUAGCUAGUUGGUGAGGUAAUGGCUCACCAAGGCGAUGAUGGAUAGCCGGCCUGAGAGGGCGAACGGCCACAUUGGAACUUAGAUACGGUCCAAACUCCUACGGGAGGCAGCAGUGAGGAAUAUUGCACAAUGGGCGAAAGCCUGAUGCAGCGACGCCGCGUGGAGGAUGAAGGUUUUCGGAUUGUAAACUCCUGUUAAGUGGGAAAAAAGACUCGUUUUUAAUAGAAACGAGGGAUGAUGGUACCACUAAAGAAAGCACCGGCUAACUUCGU